UACGUAGGGGGCAAGCGUUAUCCGGAUUUACUGGGUGUAAAGGGAGCGCAGGCGGCACGGCAAGCCUGAUGUGAAAGCCCGCGGCCCAACCGCGGGACGGCAUUGGGAACUACCGGGCUGGAGUGCCGGAGAGGUAGGCGGAAUUCCUAGUGUAGCGGUGAAAUGCGUAGAUAUUAGGAGGAACACCAGUGGCGAAGGCGGCCUACUGGACGGUGACUGACGCUGAGGCUCGAAAGCGUGGGGAGCAAACAGG
Molecule: ribosomal RNA, 253 nt
Filed under: uncultured bacterium
Lineage: Bacteria
Description: partial 16S ribosomal RNA
Rfam family: Bacterial small subunit ribosomal RNA
Source: RNAcentral